UUUAUGCUCUAAGUAACUUUUUUUUUUCCCCAGAACCAGGAAUUGAGCUCAGGACCUUGUGCUUGCCAAGCUGGCAUGGUGCCACUGAACUACCCCCCCAGCCCCUCUAAUUAUUUUAAAGCAGUAUCAGCUACCCUCAGCCCUCCUGCGCAAUCCUUGCUGUCAGACACAUCAUCAGCCCCACCUUCUGCUCCACUGGGACUCCUCCAGGUGGAUGUGACAGCCACAUCCUGAAUUCCAAGACCUUCUUCUCCUGUGGCCCAGACAGCAC
RNAcentral lists this long non-coding RNA (271 nucleotides) under Fukomys damarensis (Damara mole-rat). RNAcentral describes it as "lncRNA (ENSFDAG00000030725.1)". The record is from RNAcentral. Lineage: Eukaryota; Metazoa; Chordata; Mammalia; Rodentia; Bathyergidae.